UACGAAGGGGGCUAGCGUUGCUCGGAAUGACUGGGCGUAAAGGGCGCGUAGGCGGCUUACUUAGUUAGGCGUGAAAUUCCUGGGCUCAACCUGGGGACUGCGGCUGAUACAUGUAGGCUUGAGUGUGAAAGAGGGUCGGGGAAUUUCCAGUGUAGAGGUGAAAUGCGUAGAUAUUGGAAAGAACACCGGUGGCGAAGGCGGCGACCUGGUUCGUUACUGACGCUGAGGCGCGAAAGCGUGGGGAGCAAACAGG
Molecule: ribosomal RNA, 253 nt
Filed under: uncultured bacterium
Lineage: Bacteria
Description: partial 16S ribosomal RNA
Rfam family: Bacterial small subunit ribosomal RNA
Source: RNAcentral